This is a long non-coding RNA of Xiphophorus couchianus (Monterrey platyfish), 487 nucleotides long. RefSeq lists it as uncharacterized. The record is from RefSeq and is a predicted model, not a curated record. The transcript has 2 exons. Lineage: Eukaryota; Metazoa; Chordata; Actinopteri; Cyprinodontiformes; Poeciliidae.
UGUGACAGCUGUCCCGACUGUCACACGCAGACACUAUUGUUUCCUCUGGACCUGUUCAUGAAAAUCAUACAGAUGAGCUCCAGCUGAUCGGUGUCCAUAUAUGGGUGUCAAACUUCCUCAGCGGGCCAUUCCAUUUGUUCACCAGGGGAGGGGGAAAUUUGGUCUUUAGUUUAAUUUUACCAUUUAUUUAAUGUUUCUUCUUUUGGAAAGUUAGUUAAAUUCUGAUAUUUAUUUAAUUUAUAGAUUUAGUAAUAUUCUGACCAAUAUUUGUUAGGUUUUUGUGUGUUUAAUUACCCCCUAGUGUGUGUUAAUGGUCUGACCAGCCACUAUUUAAGUUCCCCUCAUGUCUUGUUUGUUAGGUCAGUUUGUGCUUGAGUUUGUUCUGUUACCACCUGAGUUGUACUUUGUUAUGUUGACCUCAGUUUGGGCCCAAUUUAUCAUUUUUGGAUUUUUUUGUUAAUAAAUUAAGAUUAUAUUUUGAAUUUUC